CCUACGGGUGGCAGCAGUGGGGAAUAUUGGACAAUGGGGGGAACCCUGAUCCAGCCAUGCCGCGUGUGUGAAGAAGGCCCUCGGGUUGUAAAGCACUUUCAGUGAGGAAGAACGCCUGGUGGUUAAUACCCAUCAGGAAAGACAUCACUCACAGAAGAAGCUCCGGCUAACUCCGUGCCAGCAGCCGCGGUAAUACGGAGGGUGCGAGCGUUAAUCGGAAUUACUGGGCGUAAAGCGCGCGUAGGUGGCUUGAUAAGCCGGUUGUGAAAGCCCCGGGCUCAACCUGGGAACGGCAUCCGGAACUGUCAAGCUAGAGUGCAGGAGAGGAAGGUAGAAUUCCCGGUGUAGCGGUGAAAUGCGUAGAGAUCGGGAGGAAUACCAGUGGCGAAGGCGGCCUUCUGGACUGACACUGACACUGAGGUGCGAAAGCGUGGGUAGCAAACAGGAUUAGAUACCCCGGUAGUC
This 465-nucleotide ribosomal RNA is filed under the name Vreelandella stevensii. RNAcentral describes it as "partial 16S ribosomal RNA". It matches the Rfam family "Bacterial small subunit ribosomal RNA", at positions 338 to 795 of the family's 1533-position model. The record is from RNAcentral. Lineage: Bacteria; Pseudomonadati; Pseudomonadota; Gammaproteobacteria; Oceanospirillales; Halomonadaceae.